RNAcentral lists this ribosomal RNA (543 nucleotides) under Paratylenchus dianthus. RNAcentral describes it as "eukaryotic LSU rRNA". It matches the Rfam family "Eukaryotic large subunit ribosomal RNA", at positions 420 to 813 of the family's 3401-position model. Lineage: Eukaryota; Metazoa; Nematoda; Chromadorea; Rhabditida; Tylenchulidae. The record is from RNAcentral.
CGGAUAGAGCUAGCGAAGUCGUUCGUAUUCAGCCGAAGGCCGGUGGUAUCGGUGUGUCGGGUUGCUAAUCAUGCCUGGCGCGCCUUUUGCUGCCGGUUGAGGUGCAUUUGCGGGCGUUUGCGCUGAGACUUGCGGACCAGCUUCUGGACCCGGGCCUAGAGGCCGUCCUAUGGGCGGAACUUGGGCACGGCGACGGUUGUUUGGACUGCUCGUACCACGACUUGGCCUACGGACCGCGGUGCCGUCGUCGCUCUCUUGAGGUGGCAUCGCAUGCGAUGACCCGCUUGGGGGUGGCGGUUGUGCUGUGUGUUCUCGAGUCGGCUCUCGGUGUAAAAGCUGGUCACCUAUCCGACCCGUCUUGAAACACGGACCAAGGAGUUUAGCGUAUACGCGAGCCAUUGGGUGUUUAAACUCACAGGCACAAUGAAAGUGAAGGCCCAGCCGCUGGGCUGACAUGCGAGUUGGUGGGCUUCGGCCUGCCGAUGCAGCAUGGUCCCGUUUCGGUCGCUUGCGACGGAGCGGAGACAGAGCGUAUGCGCUGAG